UGCAGUCGACGAAGUAGCAAUACUUAGUGGCAGACGGGUGAGUAACAUGUGGGUAUCUUCCCUUUGGUGAGGAAUAACACGAGGAAACUUGUGCUAAUACCUCAUAAGUCUUUACGGAGAAAGCUUUAUGCGCCAAUGGAUGAGCCCGCACUUGAUUAGUUUGUUGGUGGGGUAAUGGCCUACCAAGACUUUGAUCAAUAGCUGAUCUGAGAGGAUGAUCAGCCACAUUGGGACUGAGACACGGCCCAAACUCCUACGGGAGGCAGCAGUAGGGAAUAUUGCACAAUGGAGGAAACUCUGAUGCAGCGAUGCCGCGUGAGUGAAGAAGGCCUUUGGGUUGUAAAGCUCUUUCGUCGGGGAAGAAAAUGACGGUACCCGAAUAAGAAGGUCCGGCUAACUUCGUGCCAGCAGCCGCGGUAAUACGAAGGGACCUAGCGUAGUUCGGAAUUACUGGGCUUAAAGAGUUCGUAGGUGGUUAAAAAAGUUGGUUGUGAAAUCCCGAAGCUUAACUUCGGAACUGCAAUCAAAACUUUUUAGCUAGAGUAUGAUAGAGGAAAGCAGAAUUUCUAGUGUAGAGGUGAAAUUCGUAGAUAUUAGAAAGAAUACCAAUUGCGAAGGCAGCUUUCUGGAUCAUUACUGACGCUGAGGAACGAAAGCAUGGGUAGCGAAGAGGAUUAGAUACCCUCGUAGUCCAUGCCGUAAACGAUGUGUGUUAGACGUUGGAAAUUUAUUUUCAGUGUCGCAGCGAAAGCAGUAAACACACCGCCUGGGGAGUACGACCGCAAGGUUAAAACUCAAAUGAAUUUGACGGGGACCCGCACAAGUAGUGGAGCAUGUGGUUU
This 842-nucleotide ribosomal RNA is filed under the name uncultured Pelagibacterales bacterium. Its description in RNAcentral is "bacterial SSU rRNA". It matches the Rfam family "Bacterial small subunit ribosomal RNA", at positions 56 to 947 of the family's 1533-position model. The record is from RNAcentral. Lineage: Bacteria; Pseudomonadati; Pseudomonadota; Alphaproteobacteria; Candidatus Pelagibacterales.